GUGGGGAAUAUUGGACAAUGGGGGGAACCCUGAUCCAGCCAUGCCGCGUGUGUGAAGAAGGCCUUUUGGUUGUAAAGCACUUUAAGCGAGGAGGAGGCUACCGAGAUUAAUACUCUUGGAUAGUGGACGUUACUCGCAGAAUAAGCACCGGCUAACUCUGUGCCAGCAGCCGCGGUAAUACAGAGGGCGCAAGCGUUAAUCGGAUUUACUGGGCGUAAAGCGCGCGUAGGUGGCCAAUUAAGUCAAAUGUGAAAUCCCCGAGCUUAACUUGGGAAUUGCAUUCGAUACUGGGUGGCUAGAGUAUGGGAGAGGAUGGUAGAAUUCCAGGUGUAGCGGUGAAAUGCGUAGAGAUCUGGAGGAAUACCGAUGGCGAAGGCAGCCAUCUGGCCUAAUACUGACACUGAGGUGCGAAAGCAUGGGGAGCAAACAGGAUUAGAAACCCGAGUAGUCC
Molecule: ribosomal RNA, 451 nt
Filed under: uncultured bacterium
Lineage: Bacteria
Description: partial 16S ribosomal RNA
Rfam family: Bacterial small subunit ribosomal RNA
Source: RNAcentral